Molecule: small nucleolar RNA, 91 nt
Organism: Beta vulgaris subsp. vulgaris (sugar beet)
Lineage: Eukaryota; Viridiplantae; Streptophyta; Magnoliopsida; Caryophyllales; Amaranthaceae
Rfam family: Small nucleolar RNA Z122
About the family: Z122 is a member of the C/D class of snoRNA which contain the C (UGAUGA) and D (CUGA) box motifs. Most of the members of the box C/D family function in directing site-specific 2'-O-methylation of substrate RNAs.
Source: Rfam
GAUGGGAAAUGAUGAUAAAAUAAAUCGAUUAUUAUUCAUAAGCGAUAGCUUUGCUGAAUUAAAUUUAUUUGCACGUCAGUCUGAUCCCAAU